ACGAACGCUGGCGGCGUGCUUAACACAUGCAAGUCGAACGGAAAGGCCCUGCUUGCCGGGUACUCGAGUGGCGAACGGGUGAGUAACACGUGGGUGAUCUGCCCUGCACUUCGGGAUAAGCCUGGGAAACUGGGUCUAAUACCGGAUAGGAGCCAUUUUUAGUGUGAUGGUUGGAAAGUUUUUUCGGUGUAGGAUGAGCUCGCGGCCUAUCAGCUUGUUGGUGGGGUAAUGGCCUACCAAGGCGGCGACGGGUAGCCGGCCUGAGAGGGUGGACGGCCACAUUGGGACUGAGAUACGGCCCAGACUCCUACGGGAGGCAGCAGUGGGGAAUAUUGCACAAUGGGCGCAAGCCUGAUGCAGCGACGCCGCGUGGGGGAUGACGGUCUUCGGGUUGUAAACUCCUUUCGCUAGGGACGAAGCUUUUUGUGACGGUACCUAGAUAAGAAGCACCGGCUAACUACGUG
Molecule: ribosomal RNA, 464 nt
Filed under: uncultured bacterium
Lineage: Bacteria
Description: partial 16S ribosomal RNA
Rfam family: Bacterial small subunit ribosomal RNA
Source: RNAcentral